GACGAACGCUGGCGGCGUGCCUAAUACAUGCAAGUAGAACGCACAGUUUAUACCGUAGCUUGCUACACCAUAAACUGUGAGUUGCGAACGGGUGAGUAACGCGUAGGUAACCUGCCUGGUAGCGGGGGAUAACUAUUGGAAACGAUAGCUAAUACCGCAUAAUAUUGAUUAUUGCAUGAUAAUUGAUUGAAAGAUGCUAUUGCAUCACUACCAGAUGGACCUGCGUUGUAUUAGCUAGUAGGUGAGGUAACGGCGCACCUAGGCGACGAUACAUAGCCGACCUGAGAGGGUGAUCGGCCACACUGGGACUGAGACACGGCCCAGACUCCUACGGGAGGCAGCAGGAGGGAAUCUUCGGCAAUGGACGAAAGUCUGACCGAGCAACGCCGCGUGAGUGAAGAAGGUUGUCGGAUCGUAAAGCUCUGCUGUAAGAGAAGAACGGGUGUGAGAGUGGAAAGUUCACACUGUGACGGUAUCUUACCAGAAAGGGACGGCUAACUACGUG
RNAcentral lists this ribosomal RNA (505 nucleotides) under uncultured bacterium. Its description in RNAcentral is "partial 16S ribosomal RNA". It matches the Rfam family "Bacterial small subunit ribosomal RNA", at positions 28 to 507 of the family's 1533-position model. The record is from RNAcentral.